UUGGUGUUUUGCUCAAAAUUAGAAAAUACAAAUAUUCCACAUUAUUAAAAGGGCAACACAUUUUUGGGCCUGAACUUUACAUUUAAAAGACAACUUGGUCUGAGGGAUGUUUAACCUUAGUCAGUAAAAUAGCACUAUGGUUACCUGAAAAAGCAUAAAGAGGAAUGUUUCAUUGUGGAUUCAAGAAUCAAAUCAAAACAUUUCAACUGUUUUAAUUGAUCUAGUUCCUAUUUUUCUCCGAUUUGAUAAAAUAAUCCUUUAGGUUAAAAUUGCUAUCUUUCAAUGAACAUGGCUUUCAUAACUACUUAUUGAACACAAAGAAAUCCCAUAUUCAUUUUGUAAUAGAACUAUGUCAAUGUUUGUUAUUGAAUAUAUUGUGUUGUGCUUAAUUUUCUUGUCAUUUAAUUUCACCAUAUAUGAAGUCUAAUGUCUAUCAUUACACAAAUGCAUAUAUACAAAACAAGAUUCCAAUGUGAAUAUUUAAACAC
Molecule: long non-coding RNA, 488 nt
Filed under: Mytilus galloprovincialis (Mediterranean mussel)
Lineage: Eukaryota; Metazoa; Mollusca; Bivalvia; Mytilida; Mytilidae
Source: RNAcentral